Molecule: ribosomal RNA, 560 nt
Filed under: uncultured bacterium
Lineage: Bacteria
Description: bacterial SSU rRNA
Rfam family: Bacterial small subunit ribosomal RNA
Source: RNAcentral
CCUACGGGAGGCAGCAGUGGGGAAUCUUGCGCAAUGGGCGAAAGCCUGACGCAGCCAUGCCGCGUGAAUGAUGAAGGUCUUAGGAUUGUAAAAUUCUUUCACCGGGGACGAUAAUGACGGUACCCGGAGAAGAAGCCCCGGCUAACUUCGUGCCAGCAGCCGCGGUAAUACGAAGGGGGCUAGCGUUGCUCGGAAUUACUGGGCGUAAAGGGAGCGUAGGCGGAUAGUUUAGUCAGAGGUGAAAGCCCGGGGCUCAACCUUGGAAUUGCCUUUGAUACUGGCUAUCUUGAGUGUGGGAGAGGUUAGCGGAACUCCGAGUGUAGAGGUGAAAUUCGUAGAUAUUCGGAAGAACACCAGUGGCGAAGGCGGCUAACUGGCCCAUUACUGACGCUGAGGCUCGAAAGCGUGGGGAGCAAACAGGAUUAGAUACCCUGGUAGUCCACGCCGUAAACGAUGAGUGCUAGUUGUCGGCAUGCAUGCAUGUCGGUGACGCAGCUAACGCAUUAAGCACUCCGCCUGGGGAGUACGGUCGCAAGAUUAAAACUCAAAUGAAUUGACGG